RNAcentral lists this ribosomal RNA (435 nucleotides) under uncultured bacterium. RNAcentral's name for it is "partial 16S ribosomal RNA". It matches the Rfam family "Bacterial small subunit ribosomal RNA", at positions 29 to 507 of the family's 1533-position model. The record is from RNAcentral.
AGCGAACGCUGGCGGCAGGUUUAACACAUGCAAGUCGAGCGGGCACUUUCGGGUGUCCGCGGCGGACGGGUGAGUAACGCGUGGGAACGUGCCCUCUGGUUCGGAAUAACUCAGGGAAACUUGAGCUAAUACCGGAUACGCCCUUUUGGGGAAAGGCUUGCUGCCGGAGGAUCGGCCCGCGUCUGAUUAGCUAGUUGGUGAGGUAACGGCUCACCAAGGCGACGAUCAGUAGCUGGUCUGAGAGGAUGAUCAGCCACACUGGGACUGAGACACGGCCCAGACUCCUACGGGAGGCAGCAGUGGGGAAUAUUGGACAAUGGGCGCAAGCCUGAUCCAGCCAUGCCGCGUGAGUGAUGAAGGCCUUAGGGUUGUAAAGCUCUUUUAUCCGGGACGAUAAUGACGGUACCGGAGGAAUAAGCCCCGGCUAACUUCGUG